Long non-coding RNA from Callithrix jacchus (white-tufted-ear marmoset), 964 nucleotides. RefSeq lists it as uncharacterized. NCBI's taxonomy places the organism in Eukaryota, Metazoa, Chordata, Mammalia, Primates, Cebidae. The record is from RefSeq and is a predicted model, not a curated record.
GGAAAAAAAUUAGCAGAAACUGCUAACAUCUGGAGGCUGCCUCCAGUUUACGUAAUCUGCAGCAGAGGAGGAACAUGGGAUCCCCAGCCAGAUGGUCCGUGGGUGACUUUACAGCACAUGAGCUACCUCCAAGAGUAAGAUGCUGACGGGGUUAAAAGAGUGGGAUGCAAAACCUUCCCGAUAUUCUUACAAGGGGGACAUGGUUCUGGGUUCAAAUUCUAGACUUCCCUGUUCUACCACUGGGCCACCUGUAGAACCUGGGUGAGAAGACCACAGAGGCUAAUUAAUUUGCUCAAGAUAUCAAUGCAAGUAGCAGCCUUCUCUCCCUCCAUCUCUCCCUCCCUAGAUGUACUCUAGACCUGCUCUGUCCAACAGGGGAGUCUAAUGCCUACAUAAUAGACCAUUUAAAUUUAGUGAAUUAAAAUUAAACCAAUUAAGUAGUGCCUCAGUUUCAUGAGCCACAUUCCUAGGGCUCAAUAUCAUAGGUGGCUAGAUAUGAACAGGACACUCAUAUGAAGAACACUUUCAUCAUCAUGGAAGGCUCUAUUGGACAGGUAGUCCAGAGUCUGGCCUGUGAACACUGAGACAAUUUUGCCCUCUCUGAAACAUAAACUCCUGACUAUAGCUCCUUGAUGCACGCCAGUUUAAUCUCCUCCUUCCCAUUGCAUUAAAUUGAUAUUCUCUUCCUGGAACGCUUGCCACCAGUCAGCUGCACUGCAGACAUGGACAUCACCCAGGUGGCAUCUGCAUUUCUGAAGGCAGCAUCUUGCCAGGAGACAAGAUCUCUUCCAAACCUGUCACUUCCCUAGGGGUCUCUCUUCCAGGAAGGAGAGAAAGGCAGAUAUCACCUAAGUGUCCCUUCCACCAGCUGCACACAUGUGUCAUGUUUGGAAAAGGAUUCUGGGGUGGGCAGGAGCCCAAAGGAAAACUUUCUUGGACACAUGGCACAGGGAACCUCUCAACA